UUGAAAGGGAAACGAUUGAAGUCAGUCGUACCUGCGGGUAAUCAGCCUUUUGGGCAUGAUUCUGUGGAGCGUGAGGAGUUAAACGCCUUCAUGCCUGCAUAUUCGUGUACAUUGGGUGUACUUGCCUGUGUGGUUAGUUAACAUCAAUUUUGGUUAUCAUAAAAUGGUUGGAGGAAUGUAGCUUCGAUUUCGGUUGAAGUGUUAUAGCCUUCGGCAGAUGUGAUGAUCGGGAUUGAGGAUUGCAACGGAUACCCUUCGGGGCUACCUGUCUGGUCUCUGAUCGUUGCUUUGGUGCCGAAAGCGUGCUUACGGUUAUCAAAGUCGAUGGUCAAUAGGUUAGAACGGGUUAAAUUCGUUAAGGAUGUUGACGUA
RNAcentral lists this ribosomal RNA (372 nucleotides) under uncultured Glomeromycotina. RNAcentral's name for it is "eukaryotic LSU rRNA". The record is from RNAcentral. Lineage: Eukaryota; Fungi; Glomeromycota.